GACGAACGCUGGCGGCGUGCCUAAUACAUGCAAGUAGGACGCACAGUCUAUACCGUAGCUUGCUACACCAUAGGCUGUGAGUUGCGAACGGGUGAGUAACGCGUAGGUAACCUGCCUAUUAGAGGGGGAUAACUAUUGGAAACGAUAGCUAAUACCGCAUAACAGUAUGUAACACAUGUUAGAUGCUUGAAAGAUGCAAUUGCAUCGCUAGUAGAUGGACCUGCGUUGUAUUAGCUAGUAGGUAGGGUAAUGGCCUACCUAGGCGACGAUACAUAGCCGACCUGAGAGGGUGAUCGGCCACACUGGGACUGAGACACGGCCCAGACUCCUACGGGAGGCAGCAGUAGGGAAUCUUCGGCAAUGGGGGGAACCCUGACCGAGCAACGCCGCGUGAGUGAAGAAGGUUUUCGGAUCGCAAAGCUCUGUUGUUAAGGAAGAACGAGUGUGAGAAUGGAAAGUUCAUACUGUGACGGUACUUAACCAGAAAGGGACGGCUAACUACGUG
This 505-nucleotide ribosomal RNA is filed under the name uncultured bacterium. RNAcentral describes it as "partial 16S ribosomal RNA". It matches the Rfam family "Bacterial small subunit ribosomal RNA", at positions 28 to 507 of the family's 1533-position model. The record is from RNAcentral.